Molecule: unclassified non-coding RNA, 309 nt
Organism: Fukomys damarensis (Damara mole-rat)
Lineage: Eukaryota; Metazoa; Chordata; Mammalia; Rodentia; Bathyergidae
Rfam family: Metazoan signal recognition particle RNA
About the family: The signal recognition particle (SRP) is a universally conserved ribonucleoprotein. It is involved in the co-translational targeting of proteins to membranes.
Source: Ensembl
AGGCGUGGUGGCAUACUCCUAUAGUCCCAGCUACUUGUAAUGCUGAGGUAGGAGAACUUGCUUGAGUCCAGGAGUUCUGGGCUACAGUGCCCUGAGCCAGUGGGGUGUCCACACUAAGUUUGGCAUCAAUAUGGUCACCUCCCAGGAACAGGGGACCACCAGGUUGCCUAAGAAGGGGUAAACUGGUGCAGGUCAGAAACAAGUCAAAACUCCCAUGAUGGUCUGUUUUGGGAUUUAGACUAUUCUUUUUUUCUGUACCGGGGAUUGAACUCAGGUCCUUGCACUUGCAAGGCAGGCCACCGAACCUUU